RNAcentral lists this ribosomal RNA (158 nucleotides) under Kryptoperidinium triquetrum. Its description in RNAcentral is "Heterocapsa triquetra partial 18S ribosomal RNA". It matches the Rfam family "Eukaryotic small subunit ribosomal RNA", at positions 1672 to 1831 of the family's 1831-position model. Lineage: Eukaryota; Dinophyceae; Peridiniales; Kryptoperidiniaceae. The record is from RNAcentral.
CCCGUCGCUCCUACCGAUUGAGUGAUCCGGUGAAUAAUUCGGACUGCAGCAGUGUUCGGUCACGAACGUUGCAGCGGAAAGUUUAGUGAACCUUAUCACUUAGAGGAAGGAGAAGUCGUAACAAGGUUUCCGUAGGUGAACCUGCGGAAGGAUCAUUC